This 3987-nucleotide unclassified non-coding RNA is filed under the name Leishmania donovani. RNAcentral's name for it is "gene:LdHU3.30.2020(CDS-product:Rad17_cell_cycle_c heckpoint_protein_putative)". Lineage: Eukaryota; Euglenozoa; Kinetoplastea; Trypanosomatida; Trypanosomatidae. The record is from RNAcentral.
GAUGCACCUCCAUAUCCUUGAAAGCCAGCACACCCGCACACCAUAGAAGCACCCCCCCCCAUACACACACACUCACACAGAGCGCUGCUGCACGUUGCUUCACACGCUUUUCUCUACCCAUACGUGGCACUGACGCGCCAGCACAAGCGACUGCACAGGCACAUGCCCGCACGUAGUCGCACUCACGCGUAUCCCUCUGCCGCUUCCCUUUUGUCUUGCUCCUCCUCAAAGUUGCGAUCUCGUUGAUCUCUCUCUCUCUCGUGCGCCUAUUUGUUUGUCUACCACUCUGUCACCGUCGUCCUCACAGUUUGUGCGGCACAGGAGUCACACACGCCCUCUCUUUGGUCAUCUAUUGGAGUGAGCACCUGCAGCACCGACUAUGAACGCCGCCGUCGCUGUGUAGGCAUGCUACAUGAAGUGUACGCUCCUCGCACCGUGGCGGAUGUGGCGUGGAGCCGGCAGAAGAUCGUGACACUGUCCACUGUAAUCCAGCAGGCACGCGGCAGAGGCAAGGCUUUGUCGAGUGCAGCACCACACAUUGUCCUCCUCUACGGACCUCCUGGCUGCGGCAAGCUUGAAACCUUAAAGGUACUACUGUGCGAGGAUGCUGCACUGGUGGAUGCUCCUGUGCUCGCAACCCACAGCACGUCUCACGCUGGCCCAGGUGCAACAUUGCAGUUGGCUCAGUGCCAUAGCACGUCCUUUCACAUCUUUCACACGUGCGAGGCCACCGUACCUGCUUAUGCGCAGUACUUGAAUAGCGUCGUUUCCUAUUGUCGAGGCCAGCUGGGUGGCGGCGAGCUGCAGCUGCCGUCUCUCACCGAAUCACCGGCAAGCUGCAUGAGCAGCGGCGGCCGCAGCAGCUCUGCGGGUAGCCGCGCUGGCACCAUGGCAGGAAGCGCAGGCUCGACAGAGUUGUCGACAAAUCAUGCGCACAUCAUCAAGUUCUACGGUGAGCCCGCAUCCCACGCGCUGCAUCGUUGCACGCUCUUGUUCCUCAGAGAGUACGAGGAGCUGCGUGCCAUGGCACAGCACGAAGAGCAGGAGCAGGGACCACUCCUUUCGUCCGGCACACGUGUGGGCAGGCGAUUUUGUCUGAUGCAGCAUCUUCGCCGCAACCUCAUCUUUUUCCUUCACACCACGCACGACACACACAACGAUAAGCUCGACCUGAGCACAUCUUUCCCAUCCACGCUGCUCCAAAGCCCUGCGGUGGAGCUGUUCCAUUGCACACCGAUAACGGAGAUCAACCUGCGCAAGCGACUGCAGAGCAUUUUGGAUGUAGAGGUGCAGCGGCAUGCGCAGAAGCGGCGGUGGGCAGCGAGCACGGCCGCGAUGAGCUGUUUUGACAAUUCUCUGUCUUCAUCGUCCACCGUGCCACCGUCUGCGUCUCUCACGAGCGCUCGGCGUACCACAAAGGCGAAGCGGAAGGCGUCUACACCCACAUCUGCGGCUGCGAUCGCGACUGCAACUGCUUGCACUGCAUCCUCUAGUAUUGAUCUCAUAGACCCAGAGACGUUGAACGCCAUCGUGGCGGGCAGCCAGGGCGACAUCCGCCAAGCCCUCCUGCAAGUACAGUGGUUGUGCCUAAUGCCUGCGUCGAACUCACUAGUCCCGGCGGCACACCAGAGUGGCGAGUCAGUCGAAGGAGCAUGGAGCCAGGCAGCGCAAGCUGCCGCGACGAUCUGGAUGAGGCUGGAAAAGCAGCGAUUGGCGGCCCGCCAGGGUGUUGUGGCAGCCAGCGCCGGCGUCGCUGACGCUCGCGUGCUCUCGCUGAGUGGUACCACGGACGUCGGACUGAGCAUCUACGCCUCGCAUUCGACGCCGUGUGUAUCUCCCGCUAAACCGGCUUCGAAAGCAUCCGGAGUAGUGCACCGGGAAGGCAAGGAUGAAGACGGCGAGAUCGACAGCGAGCGUGAGAGUGACGUUGUAGAGGAGGUAAGCUCUAAGGGCUCUGGCGAAACGGUCCACAUAUUUUCUUCCGCCGAAUUCACCAGUUUUCCUGAACCACAGACAUCCCGCAAUGGCGACGACAAAACGCAUGCCAAGGUAGGUGGUGCAGCCUCCCGCAAACGGCCCCGCCAGCCGUCGUCACCGCCCGCAGUGAACAUGCUGUCAUUGCUUGAUUCGCAGAUGGAGCGCAUGCAGGCAAUGGCCGAUGUGGAUGGCCAAAGAAGACGCGGCCCAAAAAGCAGGGCGGGCCGCUUUGCACAUCGAGGCGCGGCACCUCCGGCGUCUGCCACUGGGUCGCAGCAACGCAGCGUCCUUCCGAUGACGAGGGACGAGUACCUCGGCCUCUCUCACGCCAUCGGCCGGUUACUCACACAGAAGUACUGCAUCGAUGAGGUGCUGGGCACUUUAAAUGUGCCACCGCGCAAGAUACUGGACUACCUGACGAACAACCAAAUUCGCUACUUUGGCGAUGAUCAGCUGCCUCAGUACGCACGCUGCAUCGACGCCGCGAGUGACGCAGACGCGUUGCGGGCCUCGGAGCUGAGUGGUAGCUUCGCUGGCGUGCCGAACGCCGCUGCGCUGCGUGAGCGCCGUCAGCUGGCCGACCGCACCACCGCUGGCGAGAACCUCGGCAACAUGGGACGAUUACUGGAGUCCAUUGCGCUUCAGCUAUUUCACCUCACGUACCGCGCGAUUCAGACCGAGGUGCGCCCGCCGCCAGGCUUCGUCGCUCAGGAGCCGCCGCCAUACCUUCGUCUGGCGUAUCCGCGCCUCCGCGACAUUUCUUACAGCGCGAUGCCCUAUUCGAUGCGCAGAGGGGAGGAUCGCACCGAAGCAGAUCCCGCUGCCUACAUUAAUGAGCGGGAGUGGGUCCAGCAGGCCCUCGCGCGGCUCGAGAGUGUGCCCGCAGUAGGUGCCCGUGGACCUUCUGCAAGCUACGGCAGCGACAGUAACCGACGACGCCGCUUCGACGCCGGUGCUGGCGGCGGCUCAUCAUCACAUGCGACGCUCACACCACGUAUCCAGGCGGAAGAGGUGGACGUUUUGCGUGAGGGGUUGCCUGACCUGCUGUACCGCUGCGGCAGCACCGAGGCUGUGCUGCUCGACUACUACGCCUUAGCCCCUUAUAUUCUGCUCACCGUGAGCCCUCCGCUGCCGCUGCAGUCGUCCCAUGCGGAGCGCAUUCCGGCCUCUGCUGCGUUGGCGUCGCUGUCGCAAGCCUGUGAAGGGACAAACACGACGGCGCAGAGCCGUGGCGUGCACAUUGCGCCAGACGCACCGUCCCUGCCAUCAUGCUCACCCGGCACAUCUACGAUGCUUACCACGGCACCCCGUCGCACGGUAUUUCGAUUCGCAUCGUCUUCCUUGUCAGCGUCGGCGCCGCCAUUGCCGGUGCCCUCUGCUCACUCUGUGCACAAGAGACCGUGCCUGCGCCCCUGCACGCCCUUGCAGAUGGCGAUUCUGCAGCGUGGCCGCAACCCUGCCACGGCUCAGCUCCGAAGCGACCUUUUUGUGUUGUCCACAGACGGCGUUGGCGACAGGACUGCCGGCGCUGCGACGGAGAGCAGUGCGGAGCGCCCGCUAAUCCCACCCGGGGACGAGAUCGAAGACAUCGACGAGGACUAGGGCCCACAGGUGGGAUCGUGUGGGCGAGGAAGGGGGAUGAAAGUCAGGAUGCGCCGCUGUGGCUGUGCGUAUGCGCCGGUCAAACAAAUUGGAGCGAGAGCGUCAGCAGUGCACGAUACACGACACUCGUAUGGGGUGGAGUGCGAGAGAUACUCACAUGAAACAGGUCUUUUCCACUUCUUUUCGACCGGGGCGAUGGCGAUGAUGGUGAUGUGCUGAGGGAGGGGUACUGCUGCUCCGCAGCUCUCCUCUAGCUCCAUGAAGCUGUGUAGCCGCAGGCCGCUCAGCAAUGCCAAGGUGCGUUUAUCCAUCGCUUUCGGCUAAGCUUCUGAGCAGGUGGAAGAAUGCACACCUAGCGGCAUCCCACGAUUGAUUUGGCCCUCGAUUGUUUGCCUGGCGAACAUUUGG